RNAcentral lists this ribosomal RNA (253 nucleotides) under uncultured bacterium. RNAcentral describes it as "partial 16S ribosomal RNA". It matches the Rfam family "Bacterial small subunit ribosomal RNA", at positions 80 to 334 of the family's 1533-position model. The record is from RNAcentral.
UAACCUUGAUGGCGACCGGCGCACGGGUGAGUAACACGUAUCCAACCUGCCGAUAACUCGGGGAUAGCCUUUCGAAAGAAAGAUUAAUACCCGAUGGUAUAAUAAAGCCGCAUGGUUUAAUUAUUAAAGAAUUUCGGUUAUCGAUGGGGAUGCGUUCCAUUAGGCAGUUGGUGAGGUAACGGCUCACCAAACCUUCGAUGGAUAGGGGUUCUGAGAGGAAGGUCCCCCACAUUGGAACUGAGACACGGUCCAA